RNAcentral lists this ribosomal RNA (720 nucleotides) under uncultured bacterium. RNAcentral's name for it is "bacterial SSU rRNA". It matches the Rfam family "Bacterial small subunit ribosomal RNA", at positions 93 to 803 of the family's 1533-position model. The record is from RNAcentral.
UAGUGGCGAAAGGGUUAGUAAUGGAUAGGUAACGUGCCCUAUGCUUCGGGAUAGCGUCAGUUGCUUCGGCAACUUUCCGAAAGGGGCGGUAAUACCGAAUAACAUCAUUUGUUGACGGACAAAUGCUCAAAGAUUUAUCGGCAAAGGAGCGGCCUAUCUCCUAUCAGCUUGUUGGUGAGGUAACGGCUCACCAAGGCUAUGACGGGUAGCGGGGCUGAGAGGUUGACCCGCAACAUCGGGACUGAGACACUGCCCGGACCUCCACGGAGGGCUGCAGUAACGAAUAUUGCGCAAUGGGCGAAAGCCUGACGCAGCGACGCCGCGUGCGGGAGGAAGUCCCUUGGGAUGUAAACCGCUGUCAGGGCUAAGAAAGUUCACUUCGGUGGAUUGAUAUAACCCAGAGGAAGUCACGGCUAACUUCGUGCCAGCAGCCGCGGUAAGACGAAGGUGGCUAGCGUUGUUCGGUGUCACUGGGCUUAAAGAGUGUGUAGGCGGAAAAGUAAGCGUUUUGUGAAAGCCCCCGGCUUAACCGGGGAACUGCUUGACGAACUGCUUUUCUUGAGGCAAGUAGGGGUGCACGGAACUCUUGGUGGAGCGGUGGAAUGCGUAGAUAUCAAGAGGAACGCCGAUGGAGAAAUCAGUGCACUGGGCUUGUCCUGACGCUGAGACACGAAAGCGUGGGGAGCGAACGGGAUUAGAUACCCCGGUAGUCCACGCCGU